GAGCAAUGGGCGCAAGCCUGACUCAGCAACGCCGCGUGGAUGAAGAAGGCCUUCGGGUUGUAAAAUCCUUUUCUGGGGGAAGAUAAUGACGGUACCCCAGGAAUAAGUUCCGGCUAACUACGUGCCAGCAGCCGCGGUAAAACGUAGGGGACGAGCGUUAUCCGGAUUUACUGGGCGUAAAGCGCAUGUAGGUGGCUUGAAAAGUUGGACGUGAAAGCUCCCGGCUUAACUGGGAGAGGUCGUUCAAAACUGGCAAGCUUGAGGUUGGAAGAGGAGAGCGGAAUUCCCGGUGUAGUGGUGGAAUGCGUAGAUAUCGGGAGGAACACCAGUGGCGAAAGCGGCUCUCUGGUUCAAUACUGACACUGAGAUGCGAAAGCGUGGGGAGCGAACGGGAUUAGAUACCCCGGUAGUCCACGCUGUAAACGAUGGAUACUAGGUGUAGGCGGUCAUUAACCCCGUCUGUGCCGAAGCCAACGCGUUAAGUAUCCCGCCUGGGGACUACGGCCGCAAGGUUA
This 515-nucleotide ribosomal RNA is filed under the name uncultured Chloroflexota bacterium. RNAcentral's name for it is "bacterial SSU rRNA". It matches the Rfam family "Bacterial small subunit ribosomal RNA", at positions 366 to 896 of the family's 1533-position model. The record is from RNAcentral. Lineage: Bacteria; Bacillati; Chloroflexota.